AGAGUUUGAUCAUGGCUCAGAACGAACGCUGGCGGCGUGUUUAAGACAUGCAAGUUGAACGGGGAAUCUUUGGAGCUUGCUUUGAGGAUUCCUAGUGGCGCACGGGUGAGUAACACGUGAGUAACAUGCCUCGCAGAGGGGAAUAGCCCGCCGAAAGGCGGAUUAAUACCCCAUGGUCCCGCAAGGGUAAAGGUGGCUUCGGCUGCCGCUGCGAGAUUGGCUCGCGUCCUAUCAGCUUGUUGGUGAGGUAACGGCUCACCAAGGCAACGACGGGUAGCUGGUCUGAGAGGACGAUCAGUCACACUGGAACUGAGACACGGUCCAGACACCUACGGGUGGCAGCAGUCGAGAAUAAUUCACAAUGGGGGAAACCCUGAUGGUGCAACGCCGCGUGGAGGAUGACGGUCUUCGGAUUGUAAACUCCUGUCAUUUGAGAGUAAGACCUGGUCGUUAAUAGCGGACAGGGUUGAUAGUAUCAAAAGAGGAAGGGACGGCUAACUUCGUGCCAGCAGCCGCGGUAAUACGAAGGUCCCGAGCGUUGUUCGGAAUCACUGGGCGUAAAGGGAGCGUAGGCGGUUAGGUAAGUCAGAUGUG
Molecule: ribosomal RNA, 594 nt
Filed under: uncultured Verrucomicrobiota bacterium
Lineage: Bacteria; Pseudomonadati; Verrucomicrobiota
Description: bacterial SSU rRNA
Rfam family: Bacterial small subunit ribosomal RNA
Source: RNAcentral